AGUGCUAGAAUCCUCCACAACCUC
RNAcentral lists this non-coding RNA (24 nucleotides) under Arabidopsis thaliana (thale cress). The record is from RNAcentral. Lineage: Eukaryota; Viridiplantae; Streptophyta; Magnoliopsida; Brassicales; Brassicaceae.